Molecule: ribosomal RNA, 451 nt
Filed under: uncultured bacterium
Lineage: Bacteria
Description: bacterial SSU rRNA
Rfam family: Bacterial small subunit ribosomal RNA
Source: RNAcentral
ACUCCUACGGGAGGCAGCAGUGGGAAUUUUUGUCAAUGGGGGAAACCCUGAACAAGCAACGCCGCGUGAAGGACGAAGACCUUCGGGUUGUAAACUUCUGUCGGAGGGACGAAAGCAGAGCUGGCCAAUACCCAGCCUUGUUGACGGUACCCUAUGAGGAAGCCCCGGCUAACUCCGUGCCAGCAGCCGCGGUAAUACGGGGGGGCAAGGCGUUGUUCGGAAUUACUGGGCGUAAAGGGAGCGCGUAGGCGGGCGGAUAAGUCUCUCGUGAAAGCCCACGGCUCAACCGUGGAAUUGCGGGAGAUACUAUUCGUCUUGAGUUCGGGAGAGGUGUGUGAAUUCCCAGUGUAGCGGUGAAAUGCGUAGAUAUUGGGAGGAACACCGGUGGCGAAGGCGACACACUGGACCGAUACUGACGCUGAGGCGCGAAAGCCAGGGGGAGCAAACGGGA